Molecule: ribosomal RNA, 468 nt
Filed under: uncultured bacterium
Lineage: Bacteria
Description: partial 16S ribosomal RNA
Rfam family: Bacterial small subunit ribosomal RNA
Source: RNAcentral
GACGAACGCUGGCGGCGUGCUUAACACAUGCAAGUCGAACGGAAAGGCCCUGCUUUUGUGGGGUGCUCGAGUGGCGAACGGGUGAGUAACACGUGAGUAACCUGCCCUUGACUUUGGGAUAACUUCAGGAAACUGGGGCUAAUACCGGAUAGGAGCUCCUGCUGCAUGGUGGGGGUUGGAAAGUUUCGGCGGUUGGGGCUGGACUCGCGGCUUAUCAGCUUGUUGGUGGGGUAGUGGCUUACCAAGGCUUUGACGGGUAGCCGGCCUGAGAGGGUGACCGGCGACAUUGGGACUGAGAGACGCACCAGACGCCUACGGGAGGCAGCAGGGGGGAAUAUUGCACAAUGGGCGGAAGCGUGAUGCAGCAACGCUGCGUGCGGGAUGACGUGCUUCGGGGUGUAAACCGCUUUCGCCUGUGACGAAGCGUGAGUGACGGUAAUGGGUAAAGAAGCACCGGCUAACUACGUG